UACGUAGGGUGCGAGCGUUAAUCGGAAUUACUGGGCGUAAAGCGUGCGCAGGCGGUGAGCUGUGUCCGAUGUGAAAGCCCCGGGCUUAACCUGGGAAUGGCAUUGGAAACUGGCUCGCUGGAGUGUGGCAGAGGGGGGUGGAAUUCCGCGUGUAGCAGUGAAAUGCGUAGAGAUGCGGAGGAACACCGGUGGCGAAGGCGGGUCUCUGGGCCGUAACUGACGCUGAGGAGCGAAAGCAUGGGGAGCGAACAGG
RNAcentral lists this ribosomal RNA (253 nucleotides) under uncultured bacterium. RNAcentral's name for it is "partial 16S ribosomal RNA". It matches the Rfam family "Bacterial small subunit ribosomal RNA", at positions 524 to 776 of the family's 1533-position model. The record is from RNAcentral.